Molecule: ribosomal RNA, 1349 nt
Filed under: metagenome
Description: bacterial LSU rRNA
Rfam family: Bacterial large subunit ribosomal RNA
Source: RNAcentral
AAAUUCAGUGAUCCUAUGCUGCCGAGAAAAGCCUCUAGUGAGUUCAUACACGGCCCGUACCCCAAACCGACACAGGUGAUCAGGUAGAGAAUACCAAGGCGAUCGAGAGAACUGUGGUUAAGGAACUCGGCAAAAUGCCCCCGUAACUUUGGGAGAAGGGGGACCAUGCCCGGUGAACAUCUUCACGGUGGGAGCUGGGUGUGGUCGCAGAGACCAGAGAGAAGCGACUGUUUACUAAAAACACAGGUCCGUGCGAAGACGUAAGUCGAUGUAUACGGACUGACGCCUGCCCGGUGCUGGAAGGUUAAGAGGACCGGUUAGCCGUAAGGCGAAGCUGAGAAUUUAAGCCCCAGUAAACGGCGGUGGUAACUAUAACCAUCCUAAGGUAGCGAAAUUCCUUGUCGGGUAAGUUCCGACCUGCACGAAUGGCGUAACGACUUCUCUGCUGUCUCGACCACAGACUCGGCGAAAUUGCACUACGAGUAAAGAUGCUCGUUACGCGCGGCAGGACGAAAAGACCCCGGGACCUUUACUAUAGCUUGGUAUUGGCGUUCGAUUCGGUUUGUGUAGGAUAGGUGGGAGACUGUGAAGCAUGCACGCCAGUGUGUGUGGAGUCGUUGUUGAAAUACCACUCUGAUCGUAUUGGACGUCUAACCUCGGCCCAUGAUCUGGGUUAGGGACAGUGCCUGGUGGGUAGUUUAACUGGGGCGGUUGCCUCCUAAAGAGUAACGGAGGCGCCCAAAGGUUCCCUCAGCCUGGAUGGCAAUCAGGUGUUGAGUGCAAGUGCACAAGGGAGCUUGACUGUGAGACUGACACGUCGAGCAGGGACGAAAGUCGGGACUAGUGAUCCGGCACCGGCAAGUGGAAGCGGUGUCGCUCAACGGAUAAAAGGUACCCCGGGGAUAACAGGCUGAUCUUCCCCAAGAGUCCAUAUCGACGGGAUGGUUUGGCACCUCGAUGUCGGCUCGUCGCAUCCUGGGGCUGGAGUAGGUCCCAAGGGUUGGGCUGUUCGCCCAUUAAAGCGGCACGCGAGCUGGGUUUAGAACGUCGUGAGACAGUUCGGUCUCUAUCCGCCGCGCGCGUAAGAAACUUGAGGAAGGCUGUCCCUAGUACGAGAGGACCGGGACGGACGAACCUCUGGUGUGCCAGUUGUUCCACCAGGAGCAUGGCUGGUUAGCUACGUUCGGAAGGGAUAACCGCUGAAAGCAUCUAAGCGGGAAGCCUGUUCCAAGAUGAGGUUUCUCACCACCUUGCGUGGUUAAGGCCCCCUACAGACCAUGGGGUUGAUAGGCCGGAACUGGAAGCGCAGCAAUGCGUGGAGGUGACCGGUACUAAUAGGCCGAGGGCUU